Molecule: long non-coding RNA, 1323 nt
Organism: Octopus bimaculoides (California two-spot octopus)
Lineage: Eukaryota; Metazoa; Mollusca; Cephalopoda; Octopoda; Octopodidae
Source: RefSeq, a predicted model, not a curated record
UCCAGUUACGUCACGAGCGCUUUCAUCAUAAAGGGAUGCGUAUUUCCGUCGUAGUUUGACUUGCAUCAUAUUGCAUAAUGUAUUUGCAAGAAGAAAUGAGUGUUUAUUAAAGUAAACAGAAUAGGCUUCCGCAGAUAUUAGAAAAAAAGAUUUGGACCCAAAGUGAGUUGGUCAACACUUUAUAAGAUACGAGAAAAGGUAUUUUAAAAACACGAAGAAUGCCGCCUACACUUAGAAUUGGUAGUAUACCAUAAUACUGCCGGGUAUAUAGACCACUUUGAACAAUGUCUCUUUCCUCCUUCAAGACAGUAGGGCGCAAAGUAAAAGAAUUCGUGAGUUUUAGCAGGUAAAGCGAUUACAAGUAAGCUCUUCCUUUGACUCACAUCUAACAUGUAUAUUACGUUUCCGCUAUAGAUGGUUGUGUUUCAGCAGUUGUUAUUUUAGGUCAAAGUGUGAACGUAAACUGUUGUAUUACUGACUACUCGUUAUAUUUCGUAGUAAACCUAUCUAAACGUUAAAAUGGCAGCUACUCACUACUGACACAAUUUCGAUGAAAUAUAAACUGAGGGAAAAGGAUCAACACCCAAGCCAUUACGUAGAAUAUAACAGAGUAAUGUUUAUCUCUAUUUUAUGCAAAAUAUGCUGCAAACGUUUUAAAUGCGAGCCGCCGUAUCGAGGACCAACGCAUCGUCAAACUCCAGCCGAGAGAAAUUCGAAAUUUCUAGCUUGUAAACUCAAAAUUUAAACGAGCUAAUUGAGAGAGCAUCUGCCCUGUCAUUCAAUCAAUCUGCUAGAAAUAGCAACGAAAUCUCAAUCAUGUCACAACCUAAUAUCUUUUUUUAAAAAAAUGGCAAAAUACAUUGGGCAAUGGUAACGCAACACAGUAAAACUGUUUUGAUAAGUAAAUAUUCGUCAGGAAAAUUGACCCGGGGCUCACUGUCGUCAUCAUUAUCGUCCUCAUCAUUAUCACCAUCCUUAUCAUCAUCAUCAUCAUCAUCAUCAUCAUCAUCAUCAUCAUCGUCGUCGUCGUCGUCGUCAUCGUGCUAACAAGGUCGCCACUACUUAAUGGUUCUACCUUCUAGAAACAGCAAUAUCUUCCUCAAAAAGAAAAAGUAAAAGAAAAAAAUCACCUUAUAUAAUGUAUUCUUAAAUGCACUGUAUUUUAAACAAAAAUACUGAAUUGUCUCGUUCGAACACUUUUUAGCAUUAGGUUUUUUCUUCCCGUCCCCAGAGUUGAUCUGGGCGUAAACAAUACUACAAAAAUAAAGUUUAAAAAAAAUCUAAGUGUUCUGAGAAUUCUUGAGUUUCGUAAUUAGUGGUAAU